GGACGGGGCCCGCACAAGCGGAGGAACAUGUGGUUUAAUCGAUGAUACGCGAGGAACCUUACCCGGGCUUGAAAUGCAUCUGACCGGCCUUGAAAGAGGUUUUUCCCCUUCGGGGCAGAUGUGUAGGUGCUGCAUGGUUGUCGUCAGCUCGUGCCGUGAGGUGUCGGCUUAAGUGCCAUAACGAGCGCAACCCUCAUCAUUAGUUACCAUCAGGUAAGGCUGGGGACUCUAAUGAGACUGCCAUCGUAAGAUGUGAGGAAGGUGGGGAUGACGUCAAAUCAGCACGGCCCUUACGUCCGGGGCGACACACGUGUUACAAUGGGUGGUACAAAGGGCAGCUACCUGGCGACAGGAUGCUAAUCUCCAAAACCACUCUCAGUUCGGAUCGGAGUCUGCAACUCGACUCCGUGAAGCUGGAUUCGCUAGUAAUCGCGCAUCAGCCACGGCGCGGUGAAUACGUUCCCGGGCCUU
This 471-nucleotide ribosomal RNA is filed under the name uncultured Proteiniphilum sp. Its description in RNAcentral is "bacterial SSU rRNA". It matches the Rfam family "Bacterial small subunit ribosomal RNA", at positions 916 to 1381 of the family's 1533-position model. The record is from RNAcentral. Lineage: Bacteria; Pseudomonadati; Bacteroidota; Bacteroidia; Bacteroidales; Dysgonomonadaceae.